RNAcentral lists this ribosomal RNA (450 nucleotides) under uncultured bacterium. RNAcentral describes it as "bacterial SSU rRNA". It matches the Rfam family "Bacterial small subunit ribosomal RNA", at positions 331 to 793 of the family's 1533-position model. The record is from RNAcentral.
CCAGACUCCUACGGGAGGCAGCAGUGGGGAAUAUUGGGCAAUGGGCGCAAGCCUGACCCAGCAACGCCGCGUGAAGGAAGAAGGCUUUCGGGUUGUAAACUUCUUUUGUCAGGGACGAAGCAAGUGACGGUACCUGACGAAUAAGCCACGGCUAACUACGUGCCAGCAGCCGCGGUAAUACGUAGGUGGCAAGCGUUAUCCGGAUUUACUGGGUGUAAAGGGCGUGUAGGCGGGGAAGCAAGUCAGAUGUGAAAACCACGGGCUCAACCUGUGGCCUGCAUUUGAAACUGUUUUUCUUGAGUGCUGGAGAGGCAAUCGGAAUUCCGUGUGUAGCGGUGAAAUGCGUAGAUAUACGGAGGAACACCAGUGGCGAAGGCGGCCUGCUGGGCUCUAACUGACGCUGAGGCUCGAAAGCGUGGGUAGCAAACAGGAUUAGAUACCCUAGUACAG